CAGGACUCGCAAGACUCCUACAACCCUGUGAACUUAACUAUAAGCACGUUGCUUCGGCGGGUGUCUCGGAGCGGGUUCUCCCCCCCCGGGGCGCUAAGCCCGCCGGCAGCCUACUAUACUCUGUCUCUUUGCGUUGGCAUCUCGAGUACAAUCAAACAAGUUA
This 163-nucleotide unclassified non-coding RNA is filed under the name uncultured Chaetosphaeria. RNAcentral's name for it is "sequence contains ITS1". Lineage: Eukaryota; Fungi; Ascomycota; Sordariomycetes; Chaetosphaeriales; Chaetosphaeriaceae. The record is from RNAcentral.